AGAGUUUGAUUCUGGCUCAGGACGAACGCUGGCGGCGUGCUUAACACAUGCAAGUCGAGCGGUAAGGCCCUUUCGGGGGUACACGAGCGGCGAACGGGUGAGUAACACGUGGGUGACCUGCCCUCAGCUCUGGGAUAAGCCCGGGAAACUGGGUCUAAUACCGGAUAUGACUCCAUGACGCAUGUUGUGGGGUGGAAAGCCUUGUGCGGCUGAGGAUGGGCCCGCGGCCUAUCAGCUUGUUGGUGGGGUGAUGGCCUACCAAGGCGACGACGGGUAGCCGGCCUGAGAGGGCGACCGGCCACACUGGGACUGAGACACGGCCCAGACUCCUACGGGAGGCAGCAGUGGGGAAUCUUGCGCAAUGGGCGAAAGCCUGACGCAGCGACGCCGCGUGAGGGAUGACGGCCUUCGGGUUGUAAACCUCUUUCAGCUCCGACGAAGCGGAAGUGACGGUAGGAGCAGAAGAAGCACCGGCCAACUACGUGCCAGCAGCCGCGGUAAUACGUAGGGUGCAAGCGUUGUCCGGAAUUAUUGGGCGUAAAGAGCUCGUAGGCGGUCUGUCGCGUCGGCUGUGAAAACUCGGGGCUCAACUCCGAGCUUGCAGUCGAUACGGGCAGGCUAGAGUUCGGCAGGGGAGACUGGAAUUCCUGGUGUAGCGGUGAAAUGCGCAGAUAUCAGGAGGAACACCGGUGGCGAAGGCGGGUCUCUGGGCCGAUACUGACGCUGAGGAGCGAAAGCGUGGGGAGCGAACAGGAUUAGAUACCCUGGUAGUCCACGCCGUAAACGUUGGGCGCUAGGUGUGGGAUCCCUUCCACGGGUUCCGUGCCGCAGCUAACGCAUUAAGCGCCCCGCCUGGGGAGUACGGCCGCAAGGCUAAAACUCAAAUGAAUUGACGGGG
This 898-nucleotide ribosomal RNA is filed under the name uncultured Actinomycetes bacterium. Its description in RNAcentral is "bacterial SSU rRNA". It matches the Rfam family "Bacterial small subunit ribosomal RNA", at positions 8 to 918 of the family's 1533-position model. Lineage: Bacteria; Bacillati; Actinomycetota; Actinomycetes. The record is from RNAcentral.